GUGAGGAAUAUUGGUCAAUGGGCGGAAGCCUGAACCAGCCAAGUAGCGUGCAGGAUGACGGCCCUAUGGGUUGUAAACUGCUUUUAUACGGGGAUAAAGUCAGCCACGUGUGGUUGAUUGCAGGUACCGUAUGAAUAAGGACCGGCUAAUUCCGUGCCAGCAGCCGCGGUAAUACGGAAGGUCCGGGCGUUAUCCGGAUUUAUUGGGUUUAAAGGGAGCGCAGGCCGGAAGCAAAGCGUGCCGUGAAAUGUAGAUGCUCAACAUCUGAAUUGCGGCGCGAACUGGUUUUCUUGAGUGCAUACGAGGUAGGCGGAAUUUGUGGUGUAGCGGUGAAAUGCUUAGAUAUCACGAAGAACUCCAAUUGCGAAGGCAGCUCACUGGGGUACAACUGACACUGAGGCUCGAAAGUGUGGGUAUCAAACAGGAUUAGAAACCCCGGUAGUCC
Molecule: ribosomal RNA, 445 nt
Filed under: uncultured bacterium
Lineage: Bacteria
Description: partial 16S ribosomal RNA
Rfam family: Bacterial small subunit ribosomal RNA
Source: RNAcentral